GACACUGGUGAUUCCAUAUUCAUAGAGCAUAUUCAGGAUCUGUCAUACAGAAAACUACCAUACACACAUUUUCUUUUGGUCCCUUUGUCAUUUAACUUUUGGCUCUGUUGCCUGUUUAACAGUCACUCUCACCUCUAUUCCUUUCCAUUUUAGGUGAAAGAAAUCUUUUUACCAGAUACUGAUGAGUGGCUGCCGUAAUUAAUAAGUGACUAUACCUCAUGAUCCUCCUCCUACUACAAGGAUAUACUCGAGGCAUGAGCACUGCAGUAAUUUUGAAUGAAGGUGUUCACAUUAUAGUUCUUAGUAAGUACAUGUCUUCCAGAGGACACGUUCGACAAUUGUUAAAAUUAGUUCAAAAUUAGUGUUUUUCCAUGGCAUCAACAUUUGGAAAAUUCUUUCAGGUAAGCCUUUUAUUUGGAAAAUCCCCAUUCCCUCAU
Molecule: long non-coding RNA, 437 nt
Filed under: Saimiri boliviensis boliviensis (Bolivian squirrel monkey)
Lineage: Eukaryota; Metazoa; Chordata; Mammalia; Primates; Cebidae
Description: lncRNA (ENSSBOG00000036522.1)
Source: RNAcentral